Molecule: transfer-messenger RNA, 265 nt
Filed under: Desulfobacula sp. RIFOXYA12_FULL_46_16
Lineage: Bacteria; Pseudomonadati; Thermodesulfobacteriota; Desulfobacteria; Desulfobacterales; Desulfobacteraceae
Description: partial transfer-messenger RNA
Rfam family: transfer-messenger RNA
About the family: Bacterial tmRNA, also known as 10Sa RNA or SsrA, is named for its dual tRNA and mRNA-like properties. Its role is to liberate the mRNA from a stalled ribosome. To accomplish this part of the tmRNA is used as a reading frame that ends in a translation stop signal.
Source: RNAcentral
CGCAGACGAUUAUAACUACGCUGUAGCUGCUUAAGGCAGCUUCCGUCCUGCUGAAAUCCUUCCUGCAGAUUUCAGGCCAGGGCGUCGACUUUGCAGGAUCGCUUAUUAAGGGCACCUGAACUUUAAAAGCUAAAUUUUUCAGGAUAUAUUGUCAUGUAUCCAUCUCAUAGGAGACACGGCAACGAAUUACAAAUUUUGAGAUAAGUAUGUAGAAGCCCAGGUUGAUUGUUUUCGGACGCGGGUUCAACUCCCGCCGCCUCCACCA